AUUUAUUUAAUAUAACAAGUAUAUUUGAUUUCCAAUCAAAAAGUCUUAAUAAAAAGAAUAAAUA
Molecule: transfer RNA, 64 nt
Filed under: Prolachesilla sp. PrspLA
Lineage: Eukaryota; Metazoa; Arthropoda; Insecta; Psocodea; Lachesillidae
Description: tRNA-Gly
Source: RNAcentral